ACCUGCUCAGUUUUAUGCUCAGAGCAUGAGAUUCUUAAUCUCAGGGUCAUGGGUACAAGCUGCAUGUUGGGCAAAAUAUAGCAGCAGGUUAGACUAGAAUCAGGCAUGUCCAAAGUCCGUUUCAGAGGCCUAACACAGCCGGAUGGUCAGUUUAAUCCAGCCCCCAUGGCAGUUUAUUUCCUGGGGUAAAAUCCUAAAAAACCUCAACAACUUCAAUCCUAAAGAAAAGUUAACAACUUUGGUUGGCCCUUUGGUCGGCCCUCACGGCCCUUCUCUUCAUCAAAUCUGGCUCUCUUUGAAAAAAAUUUGGACACUACUGAAGGGUUAAAGUCAAAGAGUUCAAUGGAAGCAGAGAAGGGGGUGCUGGAUGUCAGCAGUUUCAUUCUCUCCCGUGCUGCAGAGUGUGUGUGACUACUGGAUCACAUGCUCUCUGUGCUGACAUUCCAUUCUUUGGAAGCGAGGGAACAGAAGGAACUGUGCGCCACUUCCGUCUUCUUUGUUCUGUGUUCUGUUCUGUUGUUCUCUCUCGGCCACCCUUCAUGGCGCUUCCGUUGGAAAAGGGGCGUGAUUUAAAUAGCCCAGUCACCCCGCCCCUUCCCAUUGUGCCCUGCCUCGUUCCCUGCAAGGGUUCAGGUGAGUGCCAAAUGCUUUGGGGCGCAGCAAACUUUUCGGAGGGGGGGGACUGGGGUGAGGAUGCAAUGCUAGUGGGAUGAUGGAGGGGGAGAUAGCAGGCAGGGAAGCUGCUGGGCAGGUGGGGGAGGGAGAGAGACCACCCCAAAUGAAGGGAGGUGGGUGUGCAGCCGAGCUCCCCCUCAUUUCAAGUAUUCCGGGCUGAAAAAUGUCCCCCACAUGCCCUCCUGUGUUUGAAAUUCUAGAAUAAGAAACUGCCUCUUUCCCCUCAGCUGCUAUGUCUCUUUGUGACAUCACAGGAGACCACCCAUAGACAAGGCUGGGGAAACUAGGCCUCAAGGGGGGGUGCAUUUAUAAAUAAACAAAAGGUAACCGAGGAGCCCCCCCCUUGUGACACGUGUGGCAUGUGGACUCCAUGGCACCCUAAGAUACCCUCCUUAGCACCCACCAAGGCCCCCUGACCCUCCCAUUUUAAAAAAGUUUCCCCAAAAUCUGUUAGUUUUUACAGUGCUGCAAAACCAUUUGUUUUGGCAGUUGAGGAAUUGGUAUUAUUUAUUUAUUUUUCCCUUUGUGAGAGAUAAACAAACUGGUUCCUUUGAAUUAAGGUCUCUGGAUCAUUUUAAAAUAAAGUGAUCUGGACAAAAUGGGUCAAAUUAGGAAAGCUUUUUAUUAUACACACUUCCAAGUGGGGUAACCCAAGAUCAGGCACAUCUUCUUCAGGAAAAACACAUCUUAUAAAGUUGCUUCACUGGCCGCAAGUACCUCCUUCCACACCCACAGGAAGGGGCAUACCAGUUUACAGAGGUAUUACGUAUACCUCAUUAACAUUUUACCAUUCCACUUCCCAUGUUAAUCAGAAUACAAUACAAUACAAUACAAUACAAUACAAUACAAUACAAUACAAUACAAAUACCUUUAUUGGCAUUUCAAGUUAAGAAAUUUCAAAAUGGCUUGAGCUACAAAGUCUGUCUUCUUCCUGUUUCCUUUUUCUGAGAGAUUUGAAUGGGGAAAUCCUUUCGAUUCUUCAUGAAUAAGAGGCAGUGGGGUGAGGGAGGCCAGGGCCACAUCCACACCAUUUAAAGCGCUAUGAAGCCGCUUUAAACACUCAUGGCUUCUUCCCCCAAAGAAUCUGGGAGCUAUAGUUUGAAAAGGGUGCUGAGAGUUGUUAGGAGACCCCCUGUUCCCUGCCAAGAAGGGAACCCUACCCCUACCCCUACCCGUAACCCUACCCCUGACACUAACCCUAACCCUAACUCUAACCCUAAUGCUAACCCUUAACCGUUAACUAGAGCUACAAUUCCCAGAGUUCCCUGCCAAGAAGGAAACCCUACCCCUACCGCUACCACUACCCCUGACGCUAACCCUAACUCUAACCCUUAACCCUUAACUAGUGCUACAAUUCCCAGAGUUCCCUGGCAAGAAGGGAACCCUACCCCUAUCCCACCCAUAACCCUACCCCUACCCUAGCCUAACCCUAAGACAACCGUAACCCUAACCCUAAAUCUAAUCCUAACUCUAAUCCUAAUCCUAAUCCUAAACCACUCUAACAACCCUCCGUCCCCUUAACCACCUACAGUUCCCAGAAUCCCUGGUGGGAAGCCAUUCCUGUUUAAAUCGUCUUCAUAGCACUUCCAAUGGUGUGCCUAAUGUGGCCUAAUGUUCCCUCCCUCAUUUUCUUCUCUCUCCCCACUGCCCCAUCACUUGCAAUGCAGCAGAUGUCCGCCUGCAGUCUCCCUUCAAAGCUCCUUCUCUCGGGUAUGGCCACGGCCUUGUCCAUUGCUCACUGCCCGUAUUUCACGUUCAUUUCUCUGAUGUAAAUAGGGACGUACUGUGGUUCUCUUCAUGACUUUGAAGGCUGGACUUGGGGAAAACCUCACCGGCUCCAGACAUCCCUGUAAGGCAAAGGCAAACAGGUGAGUGGGAUGGGCCCCAUCCGACAGCGUCCCCCCAGACUCCUCCUCUGUUUGGCUGUCUGUUCACAAACAAGGCUUCCAAACUAGUUUGCAUCCAUCUCAGCCAGCGUAGUCUCGCGGCAUCCAAUGGCCUGAAUGCAAACUCUUCUGACAACCAUCCACCAGCUGCAGCCCUGCCAGGUCCAUUGCCAGACAUCAGCCAGCUUCAGAGCUGAAUAUCAAUUGCCUUCUAGUAUCGAUCCCACCAGCAAGUAAACUUUGUACUUGCCUUCUCCUUGCUCCACAGCACCCCAGCACCGGGCGAUUGCCUCCUUCUGCUUGCCAGCUUGCUGCCAUGGGGCAGGAGACCACCUGGGCUGAGUGCCACCAAGUUGCCCAUUUCUCUCUGGGGAGGGCAACUUCCCAGGCUUGCACAUUGGCCCACAUUUAUACCUGCUUAGCUGCCAAAUGUUUUUGUCACAUCACAGUCAACCCACAGACAAUGGCAGCAGCUGGGGUGGUAUCACCAUCACCCCCUCAGCCCUCACAAUGGUGAGCGCAGCUCAGCAGCCAACCCCCCCCCCCCAGUUGUGCCAAUAUCUAUGAAGGCCACACUGGAAACCCAAGGGACAGGAGGGGGACAUUUUUCAGCCCAGUGGUUGCAUUUCCCUCCACACAACACUAGUCAAAUGCACAAAUGAACAGAGCAAUGAAAGCAAGCCUUAUCUUGGCACAGGAAACUGUUCAAGAAAAGACCUGCAGAGAGAAAGUUAGCCUCUCGGGGAAAAAAACACUUUUUCAUCAAUCAGUCAGUCAUUUAUUGUAUGUGACUAAAAGCCAUUACAAAUCCAGUUACAAAAGCACCAAACCCAAUGACCCAAACUAUAGCUCCCAGAUUCUUUGGGGGAAGAAGCCAGGUGGAUGCCAUGUGAACUCAGCGAUGUGUCAAGUGAUGGCUGCAUACUACCUCCAGGUUCAGAGGCGGCAUAUUUCUGUAUAUCAGUUUCUGAGAAUCACGAGGGCUGUGGUGGUCAGAUUCUGCUUGCAGUUUUUGCACAGACAUCUGUGAGAAUAAGAUGCUGAACUUGGGCCACUGGUCUGAUCCAGGCAGCUUUCUUAUGUUACAAAGGAAGACUUCCAAGAGAAUACUUUUAAUGUAGCACUCCAAGAAAUGCUGCAAGUUUCAGAAAGUUACAUAACGCACUCCAAAAAUAGAAAUUUUGAAACCAUUUCAGUACUGUGUCAUUUUACUAUUUUUCUCCAUCUCUUAUCUGAACUAUGUACUUGCAGUUUCUUUGAGUAUGUUUUUUCCAAUUUAUUUUUAUUUGAUAGCCAUUUCUCCCUUUCUGAGGAAGGAACAAAAACAUUUGUAGUUCUCAGUGUCCCUGACUUAAGAGUCUGACUCCUCUGCCAUGCCUACCAAGCGCUCACUGGCUGGUGUGCCUUUCCACUGUAGGGAGAUCAGAAGAGGACCGUUUCAUUGGCAGAGGCCUAUAUGAAACGAGCUUGCUAUUCAGACACAAGGAUAUUGUUUCAGUCAUUUAUUCUUAUUUUUAAUUACUUAGCACCACAGGCAGCUCUCUCCAAAAAUGGCAAAGGCUACAAUCCCACCUACAUGGGAGGAACCCCUACUGAAUUCAGUAGGACUUACUUCCAAGUAGGCAUGGGUGCAACAGUGCUGCAAGGCUCUCUCCCUCCUUCUCCUGCAACAUAAAAGAUGGGCAUGUACCCCAAUAAAUUCUCUUUAUGCUGAAGAUCAGCAAAACUAUGCAAAUCCUGCUAUUUUCCAACCCAAGCUACACCUGAAAUAUGGUUUCCCUGCUCUCUAGUAAAUGCAUUUCAGAAAAAUAGAACAUGAGCAUGCUUGUUUUUAACUGAGGAUUUCACAUCAGGCAAAGCUGCAUUGUGUCUUUGUAUCUGUGCUUCAUACAUAGCUUUUUUAUUUUUUAGGCAGUGGCAUACGGCUACAAGCCACAAAUAUUUAUGAUAAAUUAUUUCAAGUCUGCCUUCACAUUGAGUUCAUGCAGCUGCCCAUGUCAGGAAAUUCUUGUGCCACAUAAAGAAAACAGUGUUGAGAUUUCAAGCUUUAGGUUUUAUUAGGUCCCAACAAGCUCUGUUGCAAAACAUGAUUUGGUGUAUGUUUUUCUUACAAAGAUGUACUCCUUGCUGUCUGCCUCUUGUCACGUUUCUCUGCCUGGCUGGUACAAAAAGAGCAACCCAGAGCCUUGGAACAAGCUGGGACCCAAUGACCAGUACAAGGUAUGGUAUGAAAUACUUAACUAGGGUUAUGAUGCUGGUUAUCCUAAAGGCCAGGGAUGGGAAGCCUGGUGUCCAGCAGAGAUUGUUGGGACUCCAACUUCCACCAGCCCCAUCCCUAAUGUCUAUGGAUGAAGGGCAAAUAAUAAUAAUAAUAAUGGCCAUUUGGUGGGAAGUAUAAUAAGCUUCAGCUUUGGAAGGCCCGGGGUAUGUGAUCACAGCAUUUUGGGGUUGGGCUAGAUGACCCUCGGGUCCCUUCUAUAAUUCUUCACUCUCCUCUUCAGUUCAAUCUUCUAAACUCUGACUGAAUAAGCAUGAUGGAUCCCUGAUUCUGCCAUUGACUUGUGAUUCUUCCUGAAAAAUGUCUUUUAAGCCCAUUAAAGCUGAAUGAUUAGAGAUCCUUUCCUUCCAUUGAAGCAAAGGGGUAUAGUUUCUGUGUAUGCGAGGCAGAAGAAUCGUAAUAUUAUCUGCCUGUUUAGGGAUCCUAGGCACUUAGUAAGUUUCUUGCAGUUCAGCUCUGAAAAAACUUCCUUGUGUCUUGCUCUCAGCCCCAGCAGCUGAUUUUCGGGGGGGGGGGGGGCAGGUGUAGUUGAGUAAGGAUAAACAAUGAAAAUGAGGUGUCUGGACUUGCAUAAUGUCACCGUUUGGGUACAGCUUGAGCUGUUAAAAGGUUUAAGGGCUUGUUCUGUGAGUUCAAAAGCUUUCAAUGCAAUCCAGAGAAGAAUUAAGCCUUGCUUGAGUCCACCGAAAUAAAAACCUAAAACAGAGCACUUCAGAUGGGUGGGAUAUAAAUAUUAUGAUUAUUCUAGGCUUUCACAAAAUGUUCUUUCACCAAACGACUGAGACCUAAAGGAAAACAAAAGCUUUGUUUGGGCUUCAAUGUUUAAAUAAUGACCUCACACUUUCUGUUUGUCUGCCAUGACGAUCGGCUGUGCCAAUUAAACCGGAGCCCUUCCGUGCUGGUAAUUGAGGAUAAUAUGGGAGUAAUUAUCCUCUCAACCCUCCCAGGGUGGGGGGGGCACUCCACCCACAGAUCGUCCAAUACCUUCUGCCCAUCCAGAAGGAAGAAGGGGCAGGGGGUGCUGGGUGUAAGCCGCAUGGUUGUGACAACUAUCCAAAGCCGGUGCCAUGAACAAAGGACACCUGUUUUUUAAGAUAAAAAUUUGGAGUUAACUAACAGGCAUGCUCUGAACCAGUGGAGAUAAAAUAACUUGCUAAUUUAAUCAGCCACUGAGAAGGAUUUGAUCUGGCGAAAGACUUUUGUCGGGACCAAAACACAAUGGCUUGAAAUGCUUAAGUGGAUGCUAUCUUAAUUACGAAAUGGACUGUGUGAAAUUUUGACUAUGAUUCUGGCAGUGAUUAUUAAAGGAAAGAUGAAAGGAAUCCCUGAUGGAGCUAUCAUUUCAGUGUGGAGGCAUCAUCUCAUUAACAGCUAGAAGAAGGCCAAGACAGAGUUUUGGAUAUCUGCCUGAGAUUAAUAGUGGACUAUGACUCAGGUGGCGCUGUGGUCUAAACCACAGAGCCUAGGGCUUGCCGAUCAGAAGGUCGGCGGUUCAAAUCCCCACGAUGGGGUGAGCUCCUGUUGCUUGGUCCUAGCUCCUGCCAACCUAGCAGUUCGAAAGCAUGCCAAAAAGUGCAAGUAGAUAAAUAGGUAUCGCUUCAGCGGGAAGGUAAAUGGUGUUUCUGUGCGCUGCUCUAGUUUCAGUGUUCAUUUGCACCAGAAGUGGCUUAAUCAUGCUGGCCACAUGACCCAGAAAAACUGCCUGCAGAUAAAUGCCAGCUCCCUCAGCCUGUGAAGCGAGAUGAGCACCGCAACCCCCGAGUCAUCUGUGAAUGGACUUAACUGUCAGGGGUCCUUUACCUUUUUUUUUUAAUGAUGCAGUUAAAAUACCUCUGUGUGUAGAAAAUGAAACUAAAGAUCACCGAGGAGCAGAAACAACAGUACAAAGGACUGACCCACUCGCUGAAUUAAUUGAUGGAUUAAUUGUAUAGCCCCAGGGGGAGGCGAGCCUUUUUUAUUCUCCUUUGAUAUAUAUGUAUUUGCAGUUUUACCUGGUAAACCUCCCCCGAAAGGUAACAGUUUGAAAUACUCAAGUGGGUUUGAAAGAAUACUGCUGCUAUCUCCUCAGUGGAAGGAAGGAAAAAAUUAUGAACUGGAGCUACUUUGUUUUUGCAGAGGUAACAGCAUUUUGAAUCCCCGCGACAGGGCGAGCUCCCGGUGCUCGGUCCUUGCUCCUGCCAACCUAGCAGUUCGAAAGCAUGUCAAAGUGCAAGUAGAUAAAUAGGUACCGCUCCGGCGGGAAGGUAAACGGCGUUUCUGUGCGCUGCUCUGGCUUGCCAGAAGCGGCUUAGUCAUGCUGGCCACAUGACCCGGAAGCUGUAUACCGGCUCCCUCGGCCAAUAAAGCGAGAUGAACACCGCAACCCCAGUUGGCCACGAUUGGACCUAAUGGUCAGGGGUCCCUUUACCUUUUUACCAGCAUAUUGGGAGAUGGUGCGAGACUAGGGAGGGGAAUUCUGGAUGGCUGCCUGGAGCUAAUGGUGUCUUUUUUGUCUGGGACUGUGAGGUAUUAUGGCUCCUGUUGAAAAUGGAAUUGCUGGAAUGUGAACAACAGGGAGGAAAAUAUUUCACACAGAACUAUGAAGAUGAAAGUUUGAACAGACCAGUGAUUGUAAAAAUAAAUGAAAAUUAAGUGAAGGAUUAAAAUUGGAAUGGUUUAUUGACUAAUUAAGAAAUGCAAUGUGAUAUUAGAUUAUUAGAACUCCACGAAAUUCAGAGCUUGGGAAGCCACCCAAAGAUAUAUAAUUUGGCAUUUAUAUUUGGCUUUUUUGGGUUGUAUUGUAAUCUGAUAUGUUUUAAUGUGGUUCUUUUUGGAUUAUUAAAAUGGAAAACUUAAUAAAUAUUAUAUAC
This is a non-coding RNA of Podarcis lilfordi (Lilford's wall lizard), 7688 nucleotides long. Lineage: Eukaryota; Metazoa; Chordata; Lepidosauria; Squamata; Lacertidae. The record is from the annotation of a GenBank genome assembly.